AGGGUUCGAUUCUGGCUCAGGACGAACGCUGGCGGCGUGCUUAACACAUGCAAGUCGAGCGGAGAAUAUAGCAAUAUAUUCUUAGCGGCGGACGGUGAGUAACGCGUGGGUAACCUGCCUUUUACUGGGGGAUAACACUGGGAAACUAGUGCUAAUACCGCAUAAAAUAGUGAAGUGGCAUCACUUCACUAUCAAAGGAGCAAUCCGGUAAAAGAUGGACCCGCGUCCGAUUAGCUAGUUGGAGGGUAACGGCCCACCAAGGCGACGAUCGGUAGCCGAACUGAGAGGUUGAUCGGCCACAUUGGGACUGAGACACGGCCCAGACUCCUACGGGAGGCAGCAGUGGGGAAUAUUGCGCCAAUGGGGGAAACCCUGACGCAGCAACGCCGCGUGAAGGAUGAAGGUUUUCGGAUUGUAAACUUCUUUGAUUGGGGACGAUAAUGACGGUACCCAAAAAACAAGCCACGGCUAACUACGUGCCAGCCGCCGC
This 490-nucleotide ribosomal RNA is filed under the name uncultured bacterium. RNAcentral's name for it is "bacterial SSU rRNA". It matches the Rfam family "Bacterial small subunit ribosomal RNA", at positions 8 to 518 of the family's 1533-position model. The record is from RNAcentral.